RNAcentral lists this transfer RNA (67 nucleotides) under Aneides hardii (Sacramento mountain salamander). Its description in RNAcentral is "tRNA-Tyr". It matches the Rfam family "tRNA". Rfam says of the family: Transfer RNA (tRNA) molecules are approximately 80 nucleotides in length. Their secondary structure includes four short double-helical elements and three loops (D, anti-codon, and T loops). Further hydrogen bonds mediate the characteristic L-shaped molecular structure. tRNAs have two regions of fundamental functional importance: the anti-codon, which is responsible for specific mRNA codon recognition, and the 3' end, to which the tRNAs corresponding amino acid is attached (by aminoacyl-tRNA synthetases). tRNAs cope with the degeneracy of the genetic code in two manners: having more than one tRNA (with a specific anti-codon) for a particular amino acid; and 'wobble' base-pairing, i.e. permitting non-standard base-pairing at the 3rd anti-codon position. Lineage: Eukaryota; Metazoa; Chordata; Amphibia; Caudata; Plethodontidae. The record is from RNAcentral.
GGUAAGGUGGCCGAAAAAGGUGUUGAGUUGUAGCCUCAGCGAUAAGGGUUUAAUCCUUUUCUUACCA